ACUUCUUCCCUCUUGAAAUUUUCACAUGAAGGAGCUCAGACAUAAAAUCCCUCUUCUUCCUUGCACACUCUUUUCUUGAAAUUUCUCCUUAAAGGAGUUCAAUUUCAUCAUUUUUUUCAUUACAGGGUCUCCUUAAAGGGGUUCAAUUUCACCGAAUAUAGGCCAAGUCAUUCUUUCAUUACGGGGUGUGGUUUGCAUAGGGCUGAAGCCCCAAAUAAUCAAAGUGAGACGCACUUUUAAAUUGUGUUGAAAUAUGCUUUUUAGUACUGUAAAUUUUUGUGAUGGUUAAAAGUCUUGUUUUCAUAUCAAAUUAUAUACUUAAAAAAAUAUGUGAAUCGAGUAGUUCUAUGAACACUUGAAAAAUAUUGAAAAUUGACGGUCCAAAAAUACUAUAAGAUGGAUUAUUUCUAAGACUUGAAAUCUAUUUUUUCAUGACCAUACAUCUUGAGUUUGAGAUAAUUGAUUUGAGGAUUUUUGAAAUUUCUUUGUUUUUUUGAACGGUGAUGUAUGGAAAUACUGUAGUAGAUUUUUGAGGUGUGCUUUAAUUUAAUUGUUUAACGCCUCACUCUCUCAUAUAAACUUUUUCCUUCAUUAAAUGGUAUUCAUGCUUUUGAUGUCCUCGAUCAGUCAGUUUUGAUCUUAGAUUUUUUGGCACGAUAUUUCUAUCCCACAGGAUGAGAGAGAGACGGAGAAAUCGGCAAAGGCAGCAAAAAAGAUGCGAGCACAUAUACCAUGCUCCCUGAGGGGCACAGUUCUACUGCCUUAGCUCGAAGAGAAACUUGGGAGGAUUCUUUUCAAAAUUUG
Molecule: long non-coding RNA, 804 nt
Filed under: Amborella trichopoda
Lineage: Eukaryota; Viridiplantae; Streptophyta; Magnoliopsida; Amborellales; Amborellaceae
Description: long non-coding RNA (ATRI_LNC004165)
Source: RNAcentral